Long non-coding RNA from Seriola dumerili (greater amberjack), 821 nucleotides. RefSeq lists it as uncharacterized. The transcript is spliced from 6 exons. The record is from RefSeq and is a predicted model, not a curated record. Lineage: Eukaryota; Metazoa; Chordata; Actinopteri; Carangiformes; Carangidae.
GGGACUAUACAGAAGUUACAUUUUUGUUCCUCAUCAUAGAGAAAGCUGACAUCUUUUUGGGCAGUGAAAUGAUCUCAGAUGGUAUAAUUGAGAAGACAUCUAGAUACCUAAAAAACAUAGGCAUCUGCAAUUCAACCAACAAGGAUGAAUGUGAUUUAUCUGCUUUCUGUUCUGUUCUAUUUGGACCAAUGUGAACUAACUUGACCAGAGGAAAAAUCGAAAUAAUCCACGUUUUAUACAAGGUCCUCAAGAAAUAAGCUUUCCACAGAAUGUGUGGAUAAUCCUUAUGGAUUUGGUGGCGUCAUCGUCACAGAAAAAGGAACAUACCCCAUUUUUUCCCAUCAGGGGAGAGCCUCCCGUGAUGGACAAGGCCCUCACAGUUCAGUGGAAAAGUUCCAAUGUGCUCACCAUGGAGCAGAUCCAGAGACCAUCGGGGAUUCAAACAGCAGCAAUGUGGCACCACCUGAUAUAUCCACUGAUGAAGAAGUUCCCAUGGAGGUAGACCAGCAGGAGUAAGAAAAACUUCAGUCUGGCGAGAGUCUUGAGGAGGGUUCACUGGAGGCAUCUACAACCAUCAGGCAUCCAGUCCACCCAUUCAAAAAACUCUCUGUUAAUGCUUCCCAAUGCUUAAUGCAUUGGGAAGACCAGUUCAAGCACCUAACCAUGUACAUACACAUGCUUGAGGUGCCCUAAUAAAAACAACAAAAACAAAACGACUUUUGAAAACUUAUUACAUUACUCCUCCUUCAAGGAGCAGUUUCAUCACAUCAACGAGAGAAAACACCUCUUCAACUUGAAUCAGAGGGCUAGAUUUGGUUUUU